Molecule: ribosomal RNA, 460 nt
Filed under: uncultured bacterium
Lineage: Bacteria
Description: partial 16S ribosomal RNA
Rfam family: Bacterial small subunit ribosomal RNA
Source: RNAcentral
CCUACGGGAGGCAGCAGUGAGGAAUAUUGGUCAAUGGGCGUAAGCCUGAACCAGCCAAGUCGCGUGAGGGAUGAAGGUUCUAUGGAUCGUAAACCUCUUUUAUAAGGGAAUAAAGUGUGGGACGUGUCCUGUUUUGUAUGUACCUUAUGAAUAAGGAUCGGCUAACUCCGUGCCAGCAGCCGCGGUAAUACGGAGGAUCCGAGCGUUAUCCGGAUUUAUUGGGUUUAAAGGGUGCGUAGGCGGCCUUUUAAGUCAGCGGUGAAAGUCUGUGGCUCAACCAUAGAAUUGCCGUUGAAACUGGGAGGCUUGAGUUUGUUUGAGGCAGGCGGAAUGCGGGGUGUAGCGGUGAAAUGCUUAGAUAUCACGCAGAACCCCGAUUGCGAAGGCAGCCUGCCAAGCCAUGACUGACGCUGAGGCACGAAAGCGUGGGGAUCAAACAGGAUUAGAUACCCGUGUAGUC